CAUCCCAGAUUGACAUCUAGCAAUGUAUUAGGACAAUACAUGUGACGAAAAAUGUCACGUGGUAUGACAAAAUCAAACUCGUCCGCUUACCGUAAAACUAUAAUCACUUCGUCAAUAUGAUCCAAUCAAUUACGAGAUAUGUAAGUGUGCCAAUCUUGAUUAUCGAUCAUAUCACUCCACUAUUAAGUCAAUAUAUUUCGAAAACUCAUUUUCGACUUAUGAGUACACAUUGACCAAGGAUUUCGUUAUCGACUUAACUGAAUGAAAUGCAAAUCAUAAUCUCUUACUAUCUAAGAGUGAUGAAUCCUCUAUUGGUCAUUCACAACUUUCAUACAAUUCUUGAGAUACCCGAACGAUACCGUAUUAGCGGCCCUUGGUAGAGCGACAUCCAACACCGUCAAAGUAUGAUUGUCCUCAUAUAAGGUAUUAUGACGACCUCAAGUUAAAGGACCAAUCCCACUAUCCAACAUUAGAGAUUAAUCACUAAUAUUUAGAUAGUCGUCCAUGUGCAAUCUCUAGGUGGGUCUCCAAUGUUUUGUUCUAUAACAAAACAUCCACAUAUUUAUUCAAGUGUGUCAUCACACUUUAACUUGUGAGAUGAGUUACUUACUUCACAAGUAAGAAAUAUCACAUGUAAUGGUCUAUCCGUAAUAAUAAUAUCUAUAUCUCAUUAUUACUAACUACCACAGACGAUUUAAGAUUCAAUCAUAUGUAAUUUGUAUCUCACAAUUACAACUCCUUGUGAUUAACAAAUUAUCAAAAUUUGAAUCUACGGAGUCUAUUGUUUAAUUUAAUUGAAUAUUAAUUAAAUAAUAGAUCUACCAUAAAAUCGCAUUAAUUAUAUAUUAAAAGUAUUUAUAUCCAAAGUUGAUUGACCUUGAGCAUAACACUUGCACAUCCUACAAUUCAUAAAUUCAUUAGGUGGUAUACUGGUUUUAUGAAAUUUGUAUAUAUCUCGUCCCAUUCAGGUUCAAUUAAGUAGGCCUAAAAGCCCUUAUCUGACUUGAACCAAUUCAAUC
This 1019-nucleotide long non-coding RNA is filed under the name Olea europaea (common olive). RNAcentral's name for it is "long non-coding RNA (OEUR_LNC013806)". The record is from RNAcentral. Lineage: Eukaryota; Viridiplantae; Streptophyta; Magnoliopsida; Lamiales; Oleaceae.